Molecule: ribosomal RNA, 497 nt
Filed under: uncultured bacterium
Lineage: Bacteria
Description: partial 16S ribosomal RNA
Rfam family: Bacterial small subunit ribosomal RNA
Source: RNAcentral
GAUGAACGCUGGCGGCGUGCCUAAUACAUGCAAGUCGAGCGAACGGACGAGAAGCUUGCUUCUCUGAUGUUAGCGGCGGACGGGUGAGUAACACGUGGAUAACCUACCUAUAAGACUGGGAUAACUUCGGGAAACCGGAGCUAAUACCGGAUAAUAUUUUGAACCGCAUGGUUCAAAAGUGAAAGACGGUCUUGCUGUCACUUAUAGAUGGAUCCGCGCUGCAUUAGCUAGUUGGUAAGGUAACGGCUUACCAAGGCAACGAUGCAUAGCCGACCUGGGAGGGUGAUCGGCCACACUGGAACUGAGAAACGGUCCAGACUCCUACGGGAGGCAGCAGUAGGGAAUCUUCCGCAAUGGGCGAAAGCCUGACGGAGCAACGCCGCGUGAGUGAUGAAGGUCUUCGGAUCGUAAAACUCUGUUAUUAGGGAAGAACAUAUGUGUAAGUAACUGUGCACAUCUUGACGGUACCUAAUCAGAAAGCCACGGCUAACUACGUG